RNAcentral lists this ribosomal RNA (465 nucleotides) under uncultured Klebsiella sp. RNAcentral's name for it is "bacterial SSU rRNA". It matches the Rfam family "Bacterial small subunit ribosomal RNA", at positions 338 to 795 of the family's 1533-position model. The record is from RNAcentral. Lineage: Bacteria; Pseudomonadati; Pseudomonadota; Gammaproteobacteria; Enterobacterales; Enterobacteriaceae.
CCUACGGGAGGCUGCAGUGGGGAAUAUUGCACAAUGGGCGCAAGCCUGAUGCAGCCAUGCCGCGUGUGUGAAGAAGGCCUUCGGGUUGUAAAGCACUUUCAGCGGGGAGGAAGGCGGUGAGGUUAAUAACCUCAUCGAUUGACGUUACCCGCAGAAGAAGCACCGGCUAACUCCGUGCCAGCGGCCGCGGUAAUACGGAGGGUGCAAGCGUUAAUCGGAAUUACUGGGCGUAAAGCGCACGCAGGCGGUCUGUCAAGUCGGAUGUGAAAUCCCCGGGCUCAACCUGGGAACUGCAUUCGAAACUGGCAGGCUAGAGUCUUGUAGAGGGGGGUAGAAUUCCAGGUGUAGCGGUGAAAUGCGUAGAGAUCUGGAGGAAUACCGGUGGCGAAGGCGGCCCCCUGGACAAAGACUGACGCUCAGGUGCGAAAGCGUGGGGAGCAAACAGGAUUAGAUACCCCAGUAGUC